This 624-nucleotide long non-coding RNA is filed under the name Malus domestica (apple). RNAcentral's name for it is "long non-coding RNA (MDOM_LNC020547)". Lineage: Eukaryota; Viridiplantae; Streptophyta; Magnoliopsida; Rosales; Rosaceae. The record is from RNAcentral.
GUUAUGUUGUUCCUUGCUUUUAUGUGAGUCUUUCUUUGAAACAUUGAGGACAGUGUUUGGUUAAGUGUUGGGGGGGGGUAAACAAGUGUUUUUAUUUGAAAAUUUCAUGGGUUUUAUCACCUAGCACCACUACAGUUGUUUUUCACUGUUUUUAAGUGUUUUUAGUGUGUUUUGAAGUGUUUUAGUGUGUCUUGAAAUAAUACUACGGAAAUUUGAAAAAAAAAAUUAGAAAAUGUUUUGAAAAACCCAAAAAGAGUCAUUUUAGAGUCGUUUUUGUGUGUUUGUGUCUUAGCUAACCUUCCAACACAACAAUGAGGAUAUGGAUUUUAAUUGCAUGACUGUUAAAGAAUUCACAUGGUGUAAGUUUGAUAUGCUCUUUGGUUUAUGCCUAGUUGUAGUUGUCAUUAACGAAUUCACAUGUAAUCACAAAGAAGAAAAAAAAAUCAGUUUUUGUAACAUGCUUGAAGGAAGGAAUUCAAUGUUGCAAAUGUGCCCUAAAACCAAUCAUAUGAUGAUACUUUACGGACAUUUCACAUGUUAAACUAAUCUAAUUUAAUAUCAAGGGCAAAGAUUAUUGUUUUAAGCCGUCUCAUAUAAAUGUUAUAUGCUUCAGCAAUAAGUCCA